CAGUCGAGCGGAUGAGAAGAGCUUGCUCUUCGAUUCAGCGGCGGACGGGUGAGUAAUACCUAGGAAUCUGCCUGGUAGUGGGGGACAACGUUUCGAAAGGAACGCUAAUACCGCAUACGUCCUACGGGAGAAAGCAGGGGACCUUCAAUUUCCGGGUUUCCCAAAGGCUUUCCCACGGAUUAGCUAGUUGGUGAGGUAAUGGCUCACCAAGGCUACGAUCCGUAACUGGUCUGAGAGGAUGAUCAGUCACACUGGAACUGAGACACGGUCCAGACUCCUACGGGAGGCAGCAGUGGGGAAUAUUGGACAAUGGGCGAAAGCCUGAUCCAGCCAUGCCGCGUGUGUGAAGAAGGUCUUCGGAUUGUAAAGCACUUUAAGUUGGGAGGAAGGGCAGUAAGCGAAUACCUUGCUGUUUUGACGUUACCGACAGAAUAAGCACCGGCUAACUCUGUGCCAGCAGCCGCGGUAAUACAGAGGGUGCAAGCGUUAAUCGGAAUUACUGGGCGUAAAGCGCGCGUAAAAUUGGGGCCUUUAAAGGGCCAAAUUUCCCGGAAUUUCCA
RNAcentral lists this ribosomal RNA (560 nucleotides) under bacterium. Its description in RNAcentral is "bacterial SSU rRNA". It matches the Rfam family "Bacterial small subunit ribosomal RNA", at positions 59 to 615 of the family's 1533-position model. The record is from RNAcentral.